CACGUAGGGUGCGAGCGUUGUCCGGAAUUAUUGGGCGUAAAGAGCUCGUAGGCGGUCUGUCGCGUCGGUCGUGAAAACUUGGGGCUUAACCCUGAGCUUGCGGUCGAUACGGGCAUGACUGGAGUUCGGCAGGGGAGACUGGAAUUCCUGGUGUAGCGGUGAAAUGCGCAGAUAUCAGGAAGAACACCCGUGGCGAAGGCGGUUCUCUGGGACGGUACUGACGCUGAGACGCGAAAGCGUGGGGAGCGAACAGG
Molecule: ribosomal RNA, 254 nt
Filed under: uncultured bacterium
Lineage: Bacteria
Description: partial 16S ribosomal RNA
Rfam family: Bacterial small subunit ribosomal RNA
Source: RNAcentral